RNAcentral lists this small RNA (127 nucleotides) under Marmota monax (woodchuck). Lineage: Eukaryota; Metazoa; Chordata; Mammalia; Rodentia; Sciuridae. The record is from RNAcentral.
GCUAGGCAUGGUGGCUCAUGCCUGUAAUCCCAGCAGCUCGGGAGGCUGAGGCAGGAGGACUGCGAGUUCAAAGCCAACCUCAGCAAUAUAUUGAGGCACUUAGCAACUCAGUGAGACCUGGUCUCUA